Molecule: long non-coding RNA, 516 nt
Filed under: Equus asinus (donkey)
Lineage: Eukaryota; Metazoa; Chordata; Mammalia; Perissodactyla; Equidae
Description: lncRNA (ENSEASG00005034689.1)
Source: RNAcentral
CUAGUCUAUGUGUCAGUUUUCCUGAGUCAGAAUUCACAGCAUACUUCCAGCGCUUGUCACAUCAUCUUUGGGAACAUGAUGUUUGUGACCUUUUCUGUCAAGCGCCAAGCCAGAACUGAACACCUCAAAGCAGGCACUGAUAUGGCCCUAAUAGGUGUUCAAAUAUCACCAUGGGACCUGCUGCAACUGGAGAUCUUCAAGGAGGUCUGUAUAGCCAUCUGACGUCCCUCUAUACACCUUCCAACCUGGUGGUCAUGUUUUCCUGAAAACUUGGAGAGACAAAGGACCUGAAAACCACUUGUCACCCAAAUGGACAGGCCGCUUUGAGAUUGUUCUCACUACUCACUCGUAAAUAAAGCUUGCAGGUGUGCAACCCUGGAUCCAUCAGUCCAAGAUCAAGGCAGCCCCAGAAUCACAGGAAAGUACCCCACCUGUGUUGAGGGAAAAGUGGACAGCAGAUCCCCUUGGAGAACUAAAAUAUGUCUUUAAAAUAAAAAUUUCACCUUUGUUAUCUAA